UACGGAGGGUGCAAGCGUUAUCCGGAUUCACUGGGUUUAAAGGGUGCGUAGGUGGAUUGGUAAGUCAGUGGUGAAAUCUCCGGGCUUAACCCGGAAACUGCCAUUGAUACUAUCAGUCUUGAAUACUGUGGAGGUUAGCGGAAUAUGUCAUGUAGCGGUGAAAUGCUUAGAUAUGACAUAGAACACCAAUUGCGAAGGCAGCUGGCUACACAAUUAUUGACACUGAGGCUCGAAAGCGUGGGGAUCAAACAGG
RNAcentral lists this ribosomal RNA (253 nucleotides) under uncultured bacterium. Its description in RNAcentral is "partial 16S ribosomal RNA". It matches the Rfam family "Bacterial small subunit ribosomal RNA", at positions 524 to 776 of the family's 1533-position model. The record is from RNAcentral.